GAGUUUGAUCAUGGCUCAGGACGAACGCUGGCGGCGUGCUUAACACAUGCAAGUCGAGCGAGGAGCUUGCUCCUAGCGGCGAACGGGUGAGUAACACGUGGGCAACCUGCCCUUGGCUCUGGGAUAACUCCGGGAAACCGGGGCUAAUACCGGAUACGACCACUGACGACAUCUUCUGGUGGUGGAAAGAAUUUCGGCCAAGGAUGGGCCCGCGGCCUAUCAGCUUGUUGGUGGGGUAAUGGCCUACCAAGGCGACGACGGGUAGCCGGCCUGAGAGGGCGACCGGCCACACUGGGACUGAGACACGGCCCAGACUCCUACGGGAGGCAGCAGUGGGGAAUAUUGCGCAAUGGGCGAAAGCCUGACGCAGCGACGCCGCGUGAGGGAUGAAGGCCUCGGUU
Molecule: ribosomal RNA, 401 nt
Filed under: uncultured bacterium
Lineage: Bacteria
Description: bacterial SSU rRNA
Rfam family: Bacterial small subunit ribosomal RNA
Source: RNAcentral